GUGAACGCUGGCGGUAGGCCUAACCCAUGCCCGUCGCACGGCAGCACAGUAAGAGCUUGCUCUUACGGGUGGCGAGUGGCGGACGGGUGAGGAAUACAUCGGAAUCUACUUUUUCGUGGGGGAUAACGUAGGGAAACUUACGCUAAUACCGCAUACGACCUACGGGUGAAAGCAGGGGAUCUUCGGACCUUGCGCGAUUGAAUGAGCCGAUGUCGGAUUAGCUAGUUGGCGGGGUAAAGGCCCACCAAGGCGACGAUCCGUAGCUGGUCUGAGAGGAUGAUCAGCCACACUGGAACUGAGACACGGUCCAGACUCCUACGGGAGGCAGCAGUGGGGAAUAUUGGACAAUGGGCGCAAGCCUGAUCCAGCUAUACCGCGUGGGUGAAGAAGGCCUUCGGGUUGUAAAGCCCUUUUGUUGGGAAAGAAAAGCAGCAGGUUAAUACCCCGCUGUUCUGACGGUACCCAAAGAAUAAGCACCGGCUAACUUCGUG
Molecule: ribosomal RNA, 491 nt
Filed under: uncultured bacterium
Lineage: Bacteria
Description: partial 16S ribosomal RNA
Rfam family: Bacterial small subunit ribosomal RNA
Source: RNAcentral